GUGCUUCCUGAGCAGCUGCUGGAAAGAGCUGACUCUGCCCUGCUGCUCUGCUCUAUGUGCCAUCCCAGUACCUGUUCCUUUGAUCGGAGUGACCCAGCAAUUGCCCCAGCCUCGAGCAGUGGCACUGGAUCCACAUGGCCUUAAUGGUGUGCUGUACUUAACAGCAGUUUCUCUAAGGUGGGAAAGGAAGCUGAGGAGUGUCGGGUCUGUGUACAAGAGAAGCUGCAAGAUUUUGUGUGCUUUCAGUGCUGCUGGCAGGAGGAAGAUGUGUGCUAAGAGCUCUCCAGAUGGCCUUAUGAGAUGAUGCAUGUUUGAAGUGCUUUAAAUAGACUUGCAAACUAUACAGAGAAGGAGAAGGAAGGCUCCCUUGCUUGCAAAACUCCAUAUAUUACUGCUGAUCUUUCUUUUUGCUAGGGAGCAGCCUUGGACAAUUCAGCAUGACUUCUAUAGGAAGAGACCUCUGAAGGACAUGGGGUGCAAUCCCCUGCUCAAAGGAGAGUCAUGUAGCUGGUUUCACAAGGCCAUGUGCAGCUGGGUUUUAACUGUCUUCAAACAUGGAGAUUCCACAACCUUUUGGGACAACCUCUUCAAUAUUUGGUUAUGGUAAAAAUAUGUUCUUCACAUCAAGUUGGACUUUCUUUUGUUCCACAUUGAGUUUGUUGUCUUUUCUUCUAUCCAUGUGUGUAUCUGAGAAAGGUCAGACUCCAUCUACUCCAUGUGGUCCUUUUCAGUAGGUACAGACAGCAAUAAUGUCUCAACAUAGAACUAAAAUAGCUCUUUUAAAACAGCUUCCUUGCAUAUGUGAUAUUUUCCAGUCUCUCAACCAUCUUCGGCCCCAGAUUAACUUGUCCCAGUACAUUAUUGUCUUUUUUUUUACUGAGAAACCCAAAGCCAUCAAUAGUCCCUAAGGUGCAAAUCUCUGGUGCAGAGAUAAAUAACUAUCUGAAUUCCAGUAGUGUAAAAAGCUGUUUUAUUAUGUGAUAAUAAUUAUUAUGUUGUGUUUGAUGAUGUAAAUGUGCCAUAUAGGGAUCCCCUUCCAUCUAAUGCAUCACAAGUCCCACAGUGUUUUCUGAUCAUUGGUGUGCUCAGUCAAGUGUAGCUGUUGUCCUUGUGGAGCAUAUUUGACUAGAUACAUUAGGAGGAAGAAAGCUCUGUAGCUCUUGAAGAUGAAUGUUUAUGCUAUUGUAUUGACAUUGACAGAACUACGGCAAAGAAAGAACGUGAAAAUCAUCAAAGUAUUUGGAAAAAGACCAUCUUGAAAAAAGGUCUGUCUUUAAAAGUGACAGUGCAUGUCUGUUCACCAAAAAAAAAAAAAAAAAAAGGCUCUUUGGAGAUCUGUCUAACUAAAAAGAAAAUACAUUGAAAAUGGUUUUGUCUAGCACAAAAGAAAGUAUAUAUAUAUAUUUGGAUUCUCAGUAUGUGCAGG
Long non-coding RNA from Gallus gallus (chicken), 1426 nucleotides. The record is from Ensembl. Lineage: Eukaryota; Metazoa; Chordata; Aves; Galliformes; Phasianidae.